GGCGUAAAGAGCUCGUAGGCGGUUUGUCGCGUCUGCUGUGAAAUCCGGAGGCUCAACCUCCGGCCUGCAGUGGGUACGGGCAGACUAGAGUGCGGUAGGGGAGAUUGGAAUUCCUGGUGUAGCGGUGGAAUGCGCAGAUAUCAGGAGGAACACCGGUGGCGAAGGCGGGUCUCUGGGCCGAUACUGACGCUGAGGAGCGAAAGCGUGGGGAGCGAACAGGAUUAGAUACCCUGGUAGUCCACGCCGUAAACGUUGGGCGCUAGGUGUGGGGACCAUUCCACGGUUUCUGUGCCGCAGCUAACGCAUUAAGCGCCCCGCCUGGGGAGUACGGCCGCAAGGCUAAAACUCAAAGGAAUUGACGGGGGCCCGCACAAG
Molecule: ribosomal RNA, 375 nt
Filed under: Durinskia baltica
Lineage: Eukaryota; Dinophyceae; Peridiniales; Kryptoperidiniaceae
Description: partial Bacterial small subunit ribosomal RNA
Rfam family: Bacterial small subunit ribosomal RNA
Source: RNAcentral